Molecule: ribosomal RNA, 638 nt
Filed under: uncultured archaeon
Lineage: Archaea
Description: bacterial SSU rRNA
Rfam family: Archaeal small subunit ribosomal RNA
Source: RNAcentral
CGUGAAACGUGCCGCCUGGGAAGUACGGUCGCAAGGCUGAAACUUAAAGGAAUUGGCGGGGGAGCACCACAACGGGUGGAGCNUGCGGUUUAAUUGGACUCAACGCCGGGCAGCUCACCGGAUAGGACAGCGGAAUGAUAGCCGGGCUGAAGACCUUGCUUGACCAGCUGAGAGGAGGUGCAUGGCCGUCGUCAGUUCGUACUGUGAAGCAUCCUGUUUAGUCAGGCAACGAGCGAGACCCACGCCAACAGUUGCUAGCAUGUUCUCCGGAAUGAUGAGGACACUGUUGGGACCGCCUCUGCUAAAGAGGAGGAAGGAAUGGGCAACGGUAGGUCAGCAUGCCCCGAAUUAUCCGGGCUACACGCGGGCUACAAUGGUCAGGACAAUGGGAAACGGCACUGAAAAGUGUAGUCAAUCUCCUAAACCUGUCCCAAGUUCGGAUUGUGGGCUGCAACUCGCCCACAUGAAGCUGGAAUCCGUAGUAAUCGCGUUUCAAAAUAGCGCGGUGAAUAAGUCCCUGCUCCUUGCACACACCGCCCGUCAAACCAUCUUAGUGAGGUUUGGAUGAGGCUGUGGUUAACUGCCACAGUCGAAUCUAGGUUUCGCAAGGAGGGUUAAGUCGUAACAAGGUAGCCGUA